This 391-nucleotide long non-coding RNA is filed under the name Rattus norvegicus (Norway rat). RNAcentral describes it as "long non-coding RNA NONRATT015796". Lineage: Eukaryota; Metazoa; Chordata; Mammalia; Rodentia; Muridae. The record is from RNAcentral.
CUAUAUUUGGCCUAAUCAUUACUGACUUUGGUGCUAUCAGAGGUUUCAUUUUUAAUACUAUUUAUUUAUAAAAACUUAAUUGUAGAACUCUCUGGGGAUAGUGCAGAGUAAUAAAAUUAUGAGGUCUAGAGGUCUACUAUUUGCUUGUCUAAACACCUGAAAUUGGAUUUUUUUCUUCCUCCUUAUAUAUAGUUCUUUUAUCCAUUUGUUCACUGCUAUGUGAUCCAAACCCAGAUGACCCCCUAGUGCCAGAGAUUGCACGGAUCUAUAAAACAGACAGAGACAAGUACAACAGAAUAUCUCGGGAAUGGACUCAGAAGUAUGCCAUGUGAUGCUACCUUAAAGUCAGAAUAACCUGCAUUAUAGCUGGAAUAAACUUUAAAUUACUGUU